Molecule: ribosomal RNA, 643 nt
Filed under: uncultured Actinomycetes bacterium
Lineage: Bacteria; Bacillati; Actinomycetota; Actinomycetes
Description: bacterial SSU rRNA
Rfam family: Bacterial small subunit ribosomal RNA
Source: RNAcentral
CGCGGCCUAUCAGCUUGUUGGUGGGGUAACGGCCCACCAAGGCGACGACGGGUAGCUGGCGUGAGGGCGUGACCAGCCACACUGGGACUGAGACACGGCCCAGACUCCUACGGGAGGCAGCAGUGGGGAAUAUUGCGCAAUGGGGGAAACCCUGACGCAGCGACGCCGCGUGCGGGAUGAAGGCCUUCGGGUUGUAAACCGCUUUCAGCAGGGACGAAGCGAAAGUGACGGUACCUGCAGAAGAAGCACCGGCCAACUACGUGCCAGCAGCCGCGGUAAUACGUAGGGCGCAAGCGUUGUCCGGAAUUAUUGGGCGUAAAGAGCUCGCAGGUGGUUUGUCGCGUCUGCUGUGAAAGUCCGGGGCUCAACCCCGGGUCUGCAGUGGGUACGGGCAGACUAGAGUGCGGUAGAGGAGAUCGGAAUUCCUGGUGUAGCGGUGAAAUGCGCAGAUAUCAGGAGGAACACCGGUGGCGAAGGCGGUUCUCUGGGCAUGACCUGACGCUGAGGAGCGAAAGUGUGGGGAGCGAACAGGAUUAGAUACCCUGGUAGUCCACGCCGUAAACGUUGGGCGCUAGGUGUGGGGCUCAUUCCACGAGUUCCGUGCCGCAGCUAACGCAUUAAGCGCCCCGCCUGGGGAGUACGG